This 301-nucleotide ribosomal RNA is filed under the name uncultured bacterium. Its description in RNAcentral is "partial 16S ribosomal RNA". It matches the Rfam family "Bacterial small subunit ribosomal RNA", at positions 512 to 809 of the family's 1533-position model. The record is from RNAcentral.
CAGGCCGCGGUAAUACGUAGGGUGCAAGCGUUAAUCGGAAUUACUGGGCGUACAGCGUGCGCAGGCGGUUAUAUAAGACAGAUGUGAAAUCCCCGGGCUCAACCUGGGAACUGCAUUUGUGACUGUAUAGCUAGAGUACGGCAGAGGGGGAUGGAAUUCCGCGUGUAGCAGUGAAAUGCGUAGAUAUGCGGAGGAACACCGAUGGCGAAGGCAAUCCCCUGGGCCUGUACUGACGCUCAUGCACGAAAGCGUGGGGAGCAAACAGGAUUAGAUACCCCAGUAGUCCCUGUCUCUUAUACAC